GGCCUGGUGGUGUAGUGGUUAGCGCGUUUGCUUUACAUAUUGACCCCAUCCUUGUCUUUAGCAGAAGUUCCUCGUUCGAUUCGAGGUCAGGCCA
Molecule: non-coding RNA, 94 nt
Organism: Mycena latifolia
Lineage: Eukaryota; Fungi; Basidiomycota; Agaricomycetes; Agaricales; Mycenaceae
Source: the annotation of a GenBank genome assembly